GCGCUCGCUUUGGCAGCACAUAUACUAAAAUUGGAACAAUACAGUGAAGGUUAGCGUGGCCCCUGUGCAAGGGUGACACACAAAUAUGUGAAGCAUUCCAUAUUUUU
Physeter macrocephalus (sperm whale) is the source of this 107-nucleotide small nuclear RNA. The record is from Ensembl. Lineage: Eukaryota; Metazoa; Chordata; Mammalia; Artiodactyla; Physeteridae.